UACGUAGGUUGCAAGCGUUGUCCGGAUUUAUUGGGCUUAAAGGGUGCGUAGGCGGUCCUAUAAGUCAGUGCUGAAAUAUCCCGGCUUAACCGGGAGGGUGGCAUUGAUACUGCAGGACUUGAGUAGAGUUGAGGUUGGCGGAAUUGACGGUGUAGCGGUGAAAUGCUUAGAUAUCGUCAAGAACACCGAUAGUGUAGACAGCUAACUAAGCUCAAACUGACGCUGAGGCACGAAAGUGUGGGGAUCAAACAGG
Molecule: ribosomal RNA, 253 nt
Filed under: uncultured bacterium
Lineage: Bacteria
Description: partial 16S ribosomal RNA
Rfam family: Bacterial small subunit ribosomal RNA
Source: RNAcentral